Molecule: long non-coding RNA, 263 nt
Organism: Sycon ciliatum
Lineage: Eukaryota; Metazoa; Porifera; Calcarea; Leucosolenida; Sycettidae
Exons: 3
Source: RefSeq, a predicted model, not a curated record
AGCGGAUCGAGUGUGACGCAUUAUGGAAAUAAUCAAGACCAAAAGAAUGGAACACAACACUGGGGAAGCCGCCAGCACUUCUACACAGGAUGCCCAUUCACACUUGUAGCGAGGAUUCAGCUGUGUGGAAGCUUCAUCGAUGUGGAUGCUACAGCACAAUCAGGGGAAUGAAGUGAAGACUCCACUGCAACUGUACUUAUGGUUGAUGCAUAUGGCGGUAAAUAUACACCUGCCAACACACGCUCUCUAAACUGCAAAGUAAU